UGGGGAAUUUUGGACAAUGGGCGAAAGCCUGAUCCAGCAAUGCCGCGUGUGUGAAGAAGGCCUUCGGGUUGUAAAGCACUUUUGUCCGGAAAGAAAUCCUUGGCUCUAAUACAGUCGGGGGAUGACGGUACCGGAAGAAUAAGCACCGGCUAACUACGUGCCAGCAGCCGCGGUAAUACGUAGGGUGCAAGCGUUAAUCGGAAUUACUGGGCGUAAAGCGUGCGCAGGCGGUUUGCUAAGACCGAUGUGAAAUCCCCGGGCUCAACCUGGGAACUGCAUUGGUGACUGGCAGGCUAGAGUAUGGCAGAGGGGGGUAGAAUUCCACGUGUAGCAGUGAAAUGCGUAGAGAUGUGGAGGAAUACCGAUGGCGAAGGCAGCCCCCUGGGCCAAGUACUGACACUCAUGCACGAAAGCGUGGGGAGCAAACAGGAUUAGAUACCCUGGUAGUCCACGCCCUAAACGAUGUCAACUAGUUGUUGGGGAUUCUUUCCUUAGUAACGUAGCAACGCGUGAAGUUGACCGCCUGGGGAGUACGGUCGCAAGAUUAAAACUUAAAUGAAUUGACGGGGU
Molecule: ribosomal RNA, 570 nt
Filed under: uncultured bacterium
Lineage: Bacteria
Description: partial 16S ribosomal RNA
Rfam family: Bacterial small subunit ribosomal RNA
Source: RNAcentral